This 65-nucleotide transfer RNA is filed under the name Ophiactis savignyi. RNAcentral describes it as "tRNA-Asp". The record is from RNAcentral. Lineage: Eukaryota; Metazoa; Echinodermata; Ophiuroidea; Amphilepidida; Ophiactidae.
UAAGGAUUAGUUAAAAGCAUAAUAUUAGUCUGUCUAACUGAAGUUGCGGGGAACCGCAUCCUUAU